AGGUGCUGCAUGGUUGUCGUCAGCUCGUGCCGUGAGGUGUCGGGUUAAGUCCCAUAACGAGCGCAACCCCUACCUUUAGUUGCCAUCAGGUUAAGCUGGGGACUCUAAAGGAACUGCCUACGCAAGUAGUGAGGAAGCGGGGAUGACGUCAAAUCAGCACGGCCCUUACGUCCAGGGCUACACACGUGCUACAAUGGCCGAUACAGAGGGCAGCUACCUGGUGACAGGAUGCAAAUCUCCAAAGUCGGUCUCAGUUCGGAUCGGAGUCUGCAACCCGACUCCGUGAAGUUGGAUUCGCUAGUAAUCGCGCAUCAGCCAUGGCGCGGUGAAUACGUUCCCGGGCCUU
Molecule: ribosomal RNA, 346 nt
Filed under: uncultured Sphingobacteriales bacterium
Lineage: Bacteria; Pseudomonadati; Bacteroidota; Sphingobacteriia; Sphingobacteriales
Description: bacterial SSU rRNA
Rfam family: Bacterial small subunit ribosomal RNA
Source: RNAcentral